CCUACGGGAGGCUGCAGUGGGGAAUAUUGGACAAUGGGGGCAACCCUGAUCCAGCCAUGCCGCGUGUGUGAAGAAGGCCCUCGGGUUGUAAAGCACUUUCAGUGAGGAAGAACGCCUGGUGGUUAAUACCCAUCAGGAAAGACAUCACUCACAGAAGAAGCACCGGCUAACUCCGUGCCAGCAGCCGCGGUAAUACGGAGGGUGCGAGCGUUAAUCGGAAUUACUGGGCGUAAAGCGCGCGUAGGUGGCUUGAUAAGCCGGUUGUGAAAGCCCCGGGCUCAACCUGGGAACGGCAUCCGGAACUGUCAAGCUAGAGUGCAGGAGAGGAAGGUAGAAUUCCUGGUGUAGCGGUGAAAUGCGUAGAGAUCGGGAGGAAUACCAGUGGCGAAGGCGGCCUUCUGGACUGACACUGACACUGAGGUGCGAAAGCGUGGGUAGCAAACAGGAUUAGAUACCCGUGUAGUC
Molecule: ribosomal RNA, 465 nt
Filed under: Vreelandella stevensii
Lineage: Bacteria; Pseudomonadati; Pseudomonadota; Gammaproteobacteria; Oceanospirillales; Halomonadaceae
Description: partial 16S ribosomal RNA
Rfam family: Bacterial small subunit ribosomal RNA
Source: RNAcentral